This 1406-nucleotide ribosomal RNA is filed under the name Bacillus altitudinis. RNAcentral's name for it is "bacterial SSU rRNA". It matches the Rfam family "Bacterial small subunit ribosomal RNA". Lineage: Bacteria; Bacillati; Bacillota; Bacilli; Caryophanales; Bacillaceae. The record is from RNAcentral.
CCUAAUACAUGCAAGUCGAGCGGACAGAAGGGAGCUUGCUCCCGGAUGUUAGCGGCGGACGGGUGAGUAACACGUGGGUAACCUGCCUGUAAGACUGGGAUAACUCCGGGAAACCGGAGCUAAUACCGGAUAGUUCCUUGAACCGCAUGGUUCAAGGAUGAAAGACGGUUUCGGCUGUCACUUACAGAUGGACCCGCGGCGCAUUAGCUAGUUGGUGAGGUAACGGCUCACCAAGGCGACGAUGCGUAGCCGACCUGAGAGGGUGAUCGGCCACACUGGGACUGAGACACGGCCCAGACUUCUACGGGAGGCAGCAGUAGGGAAUCUUCCGCAAUGGACGAAAGUCUGACGGAGCAACGCCGCGUGAGUGAUGAAGGUUUUCGGAUCGUAAAGCUCUGUUGUUAGGGAAGAACAAGUGCAAGAGUAACUGCUUGCACCUUGACGGUACCUAACCAGAAAGCCACGGCUAACUACGUGCCAGCAGCCGCGGUAAUACGUAGGUGGCAAGCGUUGUCCGGAAUUAUUGGGCGUAAAGGGCUCGCAGGCGGUUUCUUAAGUCUGAUGUGAAAGCCCCCGGCUCAACCGGGGAGGGUCAUUGGAAACUGGGAAACUUGAGUGCAGAAGAGGAGAGUGGAAUUCCACGUGUAGCGGUGAAAUGCGUAGAGAUGUGGAGGAACACCAGUGGCGAAGGCGACUCUCUGGUCUGUAACUGACGCUGAGGAGCGAAAGCGUGGGGAGCGAACAGGAUUAGAUACCCUGGUAGUCCACGCCGUAAACGAUGAGUGCUAAGUGUUAGGGGGUUUCCGCCCCUUAGUGCUGCAGCUAACGCAUUAAGCACUCCGCCUGGGGAGUACGGUCGCAAGACUGAAACUCAAAGGAAUUGACGGGGGCCCGCACAAGCGGUGGAGCAUGUGGUUUAAUUCGAAGCAACGCGAAGAACCUUACCAGGUCUUGACAUCCUCUGACAACCCUAGAGAUAGGGCUUUCCCUUCGGGGACAGAGUGACAGGUGGUGCAUGGUUGUCGUCAGCUCGUGUCGUGAGAUGUUGGGUUAAGUCCCGCAACGAGCGCAACCCUUGAUCUUAGUUGCCAGCAUUCAGUUGGGCACUAUAAGGUGACUGCCGGUGACAAACCGGAGGAAGGUGGGGAUGACGUCAAAUCAUCAUGCCCCUUAUGACCUGGGCUACACACGUGCUACAAUGGACAGAACAAAGGGCUGCGAGACCGCAAGGUUUAGCCAAUCCCACAAAUCUGUUCUCAGUUCGGAUCGCAGUCUGCAACUCGACUGCGUGAAGCUGGAAUCGCUAGUAAUCGCGGAUCAGCAUGCCGCGGUGAAUACGUUCCCGGGCCUUGUACACACCGCCCGUCACACCACGAGAGUUUGCAACACCCGAAGUCGGUGAGGUA